UCAGCAGACCGGGUGAUCGCCCCGCCUUCGCAUUCAACUAGAAAUAGCCUGAGUGCUUCGCGGGGAGGAAAGUCCGAGCUCCACAGAGCGGCGUAGCGGCUAACGGCCGCCCACCGGAAGGUGAGGACAAUCCCUCGGCGCGCCAAAAUCGCAUAAGCGAUUUUGGCUUGCUCGGGAUCAUCGCUUAGCGAAAGCAAUGGCGAUGAGAGCCACAGAGACGAGUCAAAUUUUGCGAAGCAAAAUUUGAUCCUGAAGAGGCGACGAAUAGGAGCCUCUGAAGGAUCUUAAUGGUGCUUCGGCGGCUACAAUCCUCCGAUUUGUCGGAUUGUGUAACGCCGCCUCAGCAUCAAAUUUACUUCGUAAAUUUGGGUGAAACGAGGCAAUCUCUACGCGGAGCAAGACCAAAUAGGGCUCGAACCAGGAGUUGCUCGCUCCUACUGAGAAUCGUCAGUGUCGAGCCGGGUAAGGUCGCUUGAUCCUUGGAGUGAUCCAAGGGCCAGAUAGAUGACCACCUCAUCCCGCGGAUAACGCGGGACCAGACAGAACUCGGCUUACAGGUCUGCUUGACGC
Molecule: RNase P RNA, 570 nt
Filed under: Candidatus Omnitrophota bacterium
Lineage: Bacteria; Pseudomonadati; Candidatus Omnitrophota
Description: Candidatus Omnitrophica bacterium RNase P RNA component class A
Rfam family: Bacterial RNase P class A
About the family: Ribonuclease P (RNase P) is a ubiquitous endoribonuclease, found in archaea, bacteria and eukarya as well as chloroplasts and mitochondria. Its best characterised activity is the generation of mature 5'-ends of tRNAs by cleaving the 5'-leader elements of precursor-tRNAs.
Source: RNAcentral